RNAcentral lists this ribosomal RNA (253 nucleotides) under uncultured bacterium. Its description in RNAcentral is "partial 16S ribosomal RNA". It matches the Rfam family "Bacterial small subunit ribosomal RNA", at positions 524 to 776 of the family's 1533-position model. The record is from RNAcentral.
UACGUGCGGGGCGAACGUUGUUCGGUGUCACUGGGCUUAAAGGGUGCGUAGGUGGUUGCGUAAGUAACGUGUGAAAUCCCUCGGCUUACCCGGGGAAUUGCGCGUUAUACUGCGCGACUUGAGGAUUUCAGGGGAAUGGGGAACUCCAGGUGUAGCGGUGAAAUGCGCAGAUAUCUGGGGGAAGGCCGGCGGCGAAGGCGCCAUUCUGGGAAAUUCCUGACACUGAGGCACGAAAGCGUGGGGAGCAAACAGG